AGAGUUUGAUCAUGGCUCAGGAUAAACGCUAGCGGCAGGCCUAACACAUGCAAGUCGAGGGGCAGCAGGGAAGUAGCUUGCUACUUCUGCUGGCGACCGGCGCACGGGUGCGUAACGCGUAUGCAACCUACCUUUAACAGGGGGAUAAUCCGAAGAAAUUUGGUCUAAUACCCCAUAAUAUUGAUUAAGGCAUCUUGAUCAGUUGAAAGUUCCGACGGUUAAAGAUGGGCAUGCGUUGUAUUAGCUAGUUGGUGAGGUAACGGCUCACCGAGGCUACGAUACAUAGGGGGACUGAGAGGUUUUCCCCCCACACUGGUACUGAGACACGGACCAGACUCCUACGGGAGGCAGCAGUGAGGAAUAUUGGUCAAUGGACGCAAGUCUGAACCAGCCAUGCCGCGUGCAGGAUGAAUGUGCUAUGCAUUGUAAACUGCUUUUGUACGAGGGUAAAAACAGGUACGUGUACCUGGUUGAAAGUAUCGUACGAAUAAGGGUCGGCUAACUCCGUGCCAGCAGCCGCGGUAAUACGGAGGACCCGAGCGUUAUCCGGAUUUAUUGGGUUUAAAGGGUGCGUAGGCGGACUGGUAAGUUAAAGGUG
This 598-nucleotide ribosomal RNA is filed under the name uncultured bacterium. RNAcentral's name for it is "bacterial SSU rRNA". It matches the Rfam family "Bacterial small subunit ribosomal RNA", at positions 8 to 596 of the family's 1533-position model. The record is from RNAcentral.